UACGAGGGGUGCAAGCGUUGCUCGGAAUUAUUGGGCGUAAAGGGCAGGUAGGUGGUCUCAUUUGUCAGGGGUGAAAGCCUUGGGCUUAACCCAAGAAGUGCCUUUGAAACGGUGAGACUGGAGUCUUGGAGAGGGUUGUGGAAUUCCCAGUGUAGCGGUGAAAUGCGUAGAGAUUGGGAGGAACACCAGCGGCGAAGGCGGCGACCUGGACAAGUACUGACACUCAACUGCGAAAGCGUGGGGAGCGAACAGG
This 253-nucleotide ribosomal RNA is filed under the name uncultured bacterium. RNAcentral describes it as "partial 16S ribosomal RNA". It matches the Rfam family "Bacterial small subunit ribosomal RNA", at positions 524 to 776 of the family's 1533-position model. The record is from RNAcentral.